GUCCCUGUAGUCUAGUCCGGUCCAGGAUAUCGGCCUCUCGAGCCGAAGACCCGGGGUCAUUCCUUCUUUCCCAGAAAGAAGGUCUGACAACUCCAAGAAAGGGGUUUUGCCGCUUUCGCGGGAAUAUCACCGCGAAAUUGGCUAGGGUAUUCAAAUCCCGGCAGGGACA
This 169-nucleotide transfer RNA is filed under the name Candidatus Aenigmatarchaeota archaeon. Its description in RNAcentral is "tRNA-Glu". It matches the Rfam family "tRNA". From Rfam's summary of the family: Transfer RNA (tRNA) molecules are approximately 80 nucleotides in length. Lineage: Archaea; Nanobdellati; Candidatus Aenigmatarchaeota. The record is from RNAcentral.